UUUUUUUUGCAGAGUUAGGAUUUUAAUAAUGAAUAAAAGGAAAAAUUACAACAGGAGGCCAAUACCUCAGAGAUUCUCAACCAUCUACAGGGAAACACAGAGAAAAUACAGAGCUAGGGCAUAACCAAGCAAAAUCAGAAACAAACUUGCAAACAAGAACUGUUAACCACCAGGCCAUGAACAUCUCAACUCUAUAUAUCGACUCCUGCUUUUGCUAAAUCUUCUGGAAUCAGUUUUAUGAUAUUUCGUUAAGCAAUCUAGGAGAUAAACCUUCAAAACUCCCCAAGUUCUUCUAAAAAAAUUGAAGUUAAAGGUCAGGCACUUUUGAACCUUCACCAUCCCAAAUAGCAACUUUGAGUUCUUCCAUAGAAAAGAGAAUCUCCAAAUCACCAUCUUCACGCACAGACAACAAUCUGAAUUUCAAGUUAGUUACCACCUGCUUAUGCCACCAAUCAGCUGCAAAAUGUUCUUUGGAUAAAUCGAAAACCAAUGCCUUAACGGUUUUAUGCUCUGAGAUCUCCACACCAUUAUUAACAAGCCCCAAGAUGGCACUUCUUCUUUGCUCUAACUCUGAAAUUACUAGUAAAGAAUUAGAAAUUUUAGCCUCUCAUUCAGCCACAAAACUCAACUUCAAUUUUAAAAGCAUUCCACAAUUCCUUAAUAAAAUACUUCUCUUUAAAACAAAAGUAAUGGAUACUUGAGUUCUUGGAUCUAAGUUUUAAUCAACAAGAAUUUUCAACAAAUAUUUAGAUACCAUUUGAAACUGGAAAAGGGAAUGCCUAGGAUAUAUAAUAUCUCAUAAUUCUCCAUUGUUUGAUAAAUCUCCUGCGAAGAAAACAUCAACUUUAUCCCUCAGUUCAAUCCAUUACAUCAAGGGUUUCUUCAGUCCUUUUUCUUCAUGAGAUUUUUGACAAAAACACAGUAGGUAGAAAGAGAAAGGAAAGGCCUGAAGGAAGGAGAUGAUGAUGUGGCUUAAAGUACCUUACUUAGCAAAUAAGUUUAAAAUUACCCUUAAUAAAGAAUAAAGACUUUUAAAUAUCCUAUCAUCGGAGAAAACCGUAUAAUACUGUGGAUUGAAAGCAUUGGUCACCUUUAAAGAAAACGACAUCGAUGCAUCGUGUCGUGCAAUAAUGAUAUUAGAGGGACCUUUUUGUUAUAUUUCUCACAUAGCACAUUAUGAUAUAUAAGCACCUAGUCAACAACUUUUGUUUUAAUAAGUGAUUAUCUAUCUUUAACCGAAAGUAUUGUCCGUAAAAUUUUUUAUAAUCAUACAAUUGUUUAUUUAUAACAUAUUCUUUUGCUUUAUAAUAAUUUUUUAAAAAUAAGGUUAAAAAGUAGUAAAAGUAACAAGAGAACAAAAAUCUAAAAAAAUUCAGAAUUGACCGGUGUUUAAACUUGUUUGUGAAGGUCUUAAAUUCAAGCAAAAUUCCACAACAACAGGGUGUAAUGUGGGAAAACUUGUAAAUCUGGGGGUUGUUAGAAGAAAUAUGAAAAAGCUCUAUAAUGAAGACAAGGAAGUGUUUGGUAUGACUAUGAGGAAGAACAACGUGAAGGACGUGAAGGCAGUAGGUAUGACUACGAGGAGAGUUUGGACUUUUGGAUGGAAGAUUAGUCGUUGGAACAAUUUUUUUGAGACGGCAGGGAGGCUUAUGCGUUUUUCUAUUUGAUACUGUCUAUGAUUCAAGUUUGUUUCUUGAAAUUAAAGAAUUCUUUUGUAGGAAAUUUUUUAAAAUUUUAAGAAAAUUUGAAAAAAAAUUUAUAAAAUGUAUCAAUUCAAAAUUUUAGUAAUUGUAAAUGUUUUUGUUUAAAAAGAAAAAGAAAAGACCAUUGCAAUGAAAUUACCUGAUAUGCAAAGAUUAGUAUUGCUUGAAUAAAAAAUACUGUGAAAGAGCCUAUGUCACGCCAUGACUUACUUUGACAUAGAUAUGAGAAUUUAAAACGAAUUUUAACAUAAUUUUUAUUAAGUUUUAAUUUAAAAUUAAUUAAUUAUAAGUAAAGGGAUUAAUCAAUUAAUUAUACUUUGAAUAUAAAAUUAUAAAAAAUUAAAUAUUUAUUAAAUAUAUGAUAAUAUUAUUUUAAUAAUAAUAUAAAUAUGAUAAUUUAAAAUAUAAUAUAAUGAUAUAAUAUAAAUAUAAUAAAAAAUAUAAAUAUAACAUUAUUUAAAAAAUUUUAUAAAUUUAUUUUAAAUUUUCAUACUGAAACGAAUUUAUUCUAAUUUAUAAUUGAAAAUCUAAAUUUUAAAUUUUCAUACUAAUUUAUAAUACAGAUCAACUAGAGGACUUUCGUGACGAGAAGAAGGCAGUAAUGCCAAAUCAAGCCAUAAGCCGAACUUUGGCUCGCUUCUCAGUGGUAUCCUCGUUCUUCUCUCCAUCUUUUCUUAUUCUCUUCUCAAAUGAUUCCUUCACUUUUUUUAUAUAAAAAAAGGUAAAAUAUAAAUCAAUAUCUCUCAUUAAAAUUCCAACAAGAACUCGAAAAAAUUCCCUUACUCUUGAACCAGUUAGGUACAAGGAUGAACGAACAAAACAAAUAGACGUAGAAUUAUCGGAGAUCUACACUUGAAAAAAAAAAAAACCUGAAUAAUAAAUUUCUAACAUUUUAAAGCUGCAACAAAUUAAAACUCUACCAUACCUGUCAUAUACAAGAGAACGAAAGGAUAAAAAAAAAUAGAUCGAAAAAAGAAUAUCAAUGAUUAAAGACGCAUUUGAAAGCAAGUAAAAGGAAGUUUACAUUCCGUCGAAAGAUUGAAAUUUUAUCACUUCAGCUUGAAAACCCCUUUCCAACAUUCAACUGCAGCUCCUUAAAAGAAUCUGUUGAUCGCCACGUUGAGAAAGAGUGAGCUUCUGGAUCUUCUGGAUUAUCGUCGCGCCUAAAAUUAAAUCCAGAUUGAGACUCCUUUCUUUUGUUUCAACGGAUUUGGGGAAACCGAUCGCACAAUAUGUAACCCAUCGCACGAUAAUGGAAAACAUCGCGCGAUACGGGAAACUCAUCGCACGAUAAUGGGACCCAUCGCGCGAUAAUGGGAACCCCACUUGGGCCUUCUAGUUAUUUUAUUUUUCUACGAUGCAUAAUAUUGCGGAUUGAAAGCACUGGUCACCUUCGAAGAAAACAACAUCGAUAGCAUCGCGUCGUGCAAUAAUGAUACUAGAGGGGACCCUACUUGGGCCUUUUUGUUAUUCUGUAUUUCUCACGUAGCACAUUACAAUAUAUAAG
RNAcentral lists this long non-coding RNA (3210 nucleotides) under Durio zibethinus. RNAcentral describes it as "long non-coding RNA (DZIB_LNC000796)". The record is from RNAcentral. Lineage: Eukaryota; Viridiplantae; Streptophyta; Magnoliopsida; Malvales; Malvaceae.